Long non-coding RNA from Mytilus californianus (California mussel), 1089 nucleotides. RefSeq lists it as uncharacterized. NCBI's taxonomy places the organism in Eukaryota, Metazoa, Mollusca, Bivalvia, Mytilida, Mytilidae. The transcript has 3 exons. The record is from RefSeq and is a predicted model, not a curated record.
CCGAGUAAAAUACACAAAUGUAUAAUACCUUAAUUCAGGAGCACAGUCUGUCUUUACCGUAAAUAACUUCGAGAUUAAUAUGUAAGUUUACUUUGCUAAUCGAUGUUCCUGUAAUUCAGAUUUAUAUUUAUUUGUGAGACCCCCGUCACUAUUUAUAUUCACUGAAAGAAAGGGGUUCUCCGUUACUGGGAAAAUCUUAUCUGAUUCAGGAUCAAUUUAUCGGUUACACUCCCCUAUCACCAGUGAUUCUUUGUUGUAAGCUGACAUUCUGAAAAAGGGCAAGAACAUAAAAGAUAAAGGGAAACUAUAAACAAAAGAAAUUAUCAACAAAAAUAGAUUUACAGACGUCAACAAAGCCUAAAUGGUCAGACAUCUUGGUUUUCAUGAUCAUCAUUCAACAAGUCAAUACUAAACAGAAAACUUAAAGUUGAUAUUUUUCUACAUAGUGUGACUUUUUUAUUAAUUUGAAAUGAAAUGUGUUUUUUUCCUACAUAAGAAAGAGGAAAUUUCAUCAUAAUGACUAUAAACAAAAAGGAGUCAUAUCAUCAUGAUCAUAGAUGCACAAGAACUUAAUCAUGUAAAUGCAACAACGUAAUUAUCAAUUGAAAGAAGGGAGGAAUGAAAAAAUAUAUUAGUAUUUUGUUGUCCAAAUGAACUUGCUUUGUCUACUCAUUUAAAUCGCUCCAUCCAAUAAAGAUGUACGGAGGAAGAUUUUUGAAGAACAGACUGCAAAAAUGUUUUGUCUAAGAAUUGUAGAAAUAUUCUAGUGGAUGAAAUAAUUUAUUUACUUGACUCUUAUAUAGUGGACUGAAUAAUUGUUCAUAGCAAGCUGAAACAAGAAAACUAAAACUUAACAGGAAAAGUGUUUAUUUUAUAAAUUUGCAAAUAUAAACAUAAUAUUAAGAACACCACAAAGGUAUAAGAUUCAAAUCGUUUGCAUAUUCAUGUAUUGCAAUGGAACUAUAACUAAGAAAAUUUUAACUCAUGAAAAGAGUAAACUAUUAACUGUGCUUUGUCAAUUUAUUCAGUCAGAAUAUGAAAUAUUUUUUUCAGUUCUAUUUUUCAUAAUAAAACAAACAAGACAAAGAU